This 460-nucleotide ribosomal RNA is filed under the name uncultured bacterium. Its description in RNAcentral is "partial 16S ribosomal RNA". It matches the Rfam family "Bacterial small subunit ribosomal RNA", at positions 338 to 795 of the family's 1533-position model. The record is from RNAcentral.
CCUACGGGAGGCAGCAGUGAGGAAUAUUGGUCAAUGGGCGGGAGCCUGAACCAGCCAAGUCGCGUGAGGGAAGACUGUCCUAUGGAUUGUAAACCUCUUUAGGCGGGGAGCACUGCAGGGCGCGCGUGCCCGGAGGGAGAGUACCCGCAGAAUAAGCAUCGGCUGACUCCGUGCCAGCAGCCGCGGUAAUACGGCGGAUGCGAGCGUUAUACGGAUUUAUUGGGUGUAAGGGGUGCGUAGGCGGAUUGUUACGUCAGCGGUAAAAUGUCCGGGAUCAAACCGGGCCGGCCGUUGAAACUGGGGAUCUUGAGUGGGCGAGAAGGAUGCGGAAUGCGUGGUGUAGCGGUGAAAUGCAUAGAUAUCACGCAGAACUCCGAUUGCGAAGGCAGCAUACCGGCGCCCGACUGACGCUGAAGCACGAAAGCGUGGGGAUCGAACAGGAUUAGAUACCCCAGUAGUC